Molecule: ribosomal RNA, 256 nt
Filed under: uncultured bacterium
Lineage: Bacteria
Description: partial 16S ribosomal RNA
Rfam family: Bacterial small subunit ribosomal RNA
Source: RNAcentral
CGGAGGGGCGUAGCGUUGUUCGGAAUUACUGGGCGUAAAGACGCACGUAGGCGGAUCAGUCAGUCAGGGGUGAAAUCCCGGGGCUCAACCCCGGAACUGCCUUUGAUACUGCUGGUCUGGAGGUCGAGAGAGGUGAGUGGAAUUCCGAGUGUAGAGGUGAAAUUCGUAGAUAUUCGGAGGAACACCAGUGGCGAAGGCGGCUCACUGGCUCGAUACUGACGCUGAGGUGCGAAAGCGUGGGGGAGCAAACAGGAUU